UAGAGAAGGAAGCAUUUCCUCAUGGGAAUAUCCCCAGUAUCCCCUGGACUUAUAGAAGUUUGAGAUUGCCACAGGGUUGCAGAAGGAAGCAUUUCCUUGUGGGAUCAUUUGCAAUAGCACAUGGAUGCAUGGAGGAUGAGAGAUUUCCAUUGGGUUGGAUCGAACUCAAUGCCCAGUGCAAGGAGGCAUCAUUCCAGUGCAUAACAAUCCUGGACACUUCCCAACAAAUACACACCCCAAAUCCAUUUCCUGUUCCUCCCCAGGCAGCAGCACAUUCCCAGCCAGCAGAUGGAAGCCACCAACUAUGGAGAAAUCCAGUAUGCCACCGUUGUCCACUUUCAAAGGGACAAGAAAAACAGCAAAUCAUGAGAUGCAUUUUCUAGCCGCAAAUCACACUCUCCUCUCUGACCUCUGCAAAUAUCUCCCCUUAUUGCUGCUACCAAAAUUGUGUGGUUUCUCCUCAGAAGCUCCAAAAAUUGUUCCAUCCGAAGAGCUGAACAUAUUUGAGUGUUUUAAAAAGAGUAUGGAGGGGGAAAACCUCACCAACAAUUAUGAAGAGGAAAGAGGCCAUCUAGCAAGCAAGUGCUCCCCCAUAUCUGCUCUUAUUUAUGCUAAUUGUCUCCUGCCUGCUUCUCUAGUGUUCAUGUAUCCUUCCAGGGCACUUGGAGCCUUCUCGUGCAGGGCUUGCAGGCUGUAGCUGUAAUAACAGGGCUUUCCUUUCCCCUCCAGCCUCCCGUGAAGCAGAUGACCAACAAGAGUCCAAUUGGCUGCAGCAUGCCAAGGGCACUGGGAUUGGGUCACAAACAAUGUGUUUUCUUGCAGAGGGCUCUUGGGGCAGAACAUGGGGCUCUUUGGGUUUAUGGGUUUUGCUCUCCUGUUACAUCUAGCCAAUAAGAUGUAUGACUUGCUUAUGUAUGGACCCCCUGAAAAAUCAAUAAAGUAUCAGUGAUA
Long non-coding RNA from Gallus gallus (chicken), 951 nucleotides. RefSeq lists it as uncharacterized. The record is from RefSeq and is a predicted model, not a curated record. The transcript is spliced from 3 exons. Lineage: Eukaryota; Metazoa; Chordata; Aves; Galliformes; Phasianidae.